Molecule: ribosomal RNA, 484 nt
Filed under: uncultured bacterium
Lineage: Bacteria
Description: partial 16S ribosomal RNA
Rfam family: Bacterial small subunit ribosomal RNA
Source: RNAcentral
AGUGAACGCUGGCGGCAGGCCUAACACAUGCAAGUCGAGCGGCAGCGGGUCCUUCGGGCUGCCGGCGUGCGGCGGACGGGUGAGGAAUACAUCGGAAUCUGCCCUGUCGUGGGGGAUAACCUCGGGAAACUUAGGCUAAUACCGCAUACGACCUACGGGUGAAAGCGGGGGAUCGCAAGACCUCGCGCGACAGGAUGAGCCGAUGUCCGAUUAGCUAGUUGGCGGGGUAAAGGCCCACCAAGGCGACGAUCGGUAGCUGGUCUGAGAGGAUGAUCAGCCACACUGGGACUGAGACACGGACCAGACUCCUACGGGAGGCAGCAGUGGGGAAUAUUGGACAAUGGGCGCAAGCCUGAUCCAGCCAUGCCGCGUGUGUGAAGAAGGCCUUCGGGUUGUAAAGCCCUUUUGUCCGGGAAGAAAUCGUCUGGGCUAAGACCCCGGGCGGAUGACGGUACCGGAAGAAUAAGCACCGGCUAACUUCGUG